AUGGCUCAGGAUGAACGCUAGCUACAGGCUUAACACAUGCAAGUCGAGGGGCAUCAUGGAGUUGCUGCAAACUCUGAUGGCGACCGGCGCACGGGUGAGUAACGCGUAUCCAACCUUCCCUAUAGUAGAGGAUAGCCCGGCGAAAGUCGGAUUAAUACUCUAUGUUUUCCGUUGCAGACAUCUAAGAUGGAACAAAGGCUUGCCGCUAUAGGAUGGGGAUGCGUCUGAUUAGGUAGUCGGCGGGGUAACGGCCCACCGAGCCAUCGAUCAGUAGGGGUUCUGAGAGGAAGGUCCCCCACAUUGGAACUGAGACACGGUCCAAACUCCUACGGGAGGCAGCAGUGAGGAAUAUUGGUCAAUGGGCGAGAGCCUGAACCAGCCAAGUAGCGUGCAGGACGACGGCCCUAUGGGUUGUAAACUGCUUUUAUGCGGGGAUAAAGUUCACUACGUGUAGUGUUUUGUAGGUACCGCAUGAAUAAGGACCGGCUAAUUCCGUGCCAGCCGCUGC
This 508-nucleotide ribosomal RNA is filed under the name uncultured bacterium. RNAcentral describes it as "bacterial SSU rRNA". It matches the Rfam family "Bacterial small subunit ribosomal RNA", at positions 19 to 518 of the family's 1533-position model. The record is from RNAcentral.